RNAcentral lists this ribosomal RNA (1489 nucleotides) under Lactiplantibacillus pentosus. RNAcentral describes it as "bacterial SSU rRNA". It matches the Rfam family "Bacterial small subunit ribosomal RNA". The record is from RNAcentral. Lineage: Bacteria; Bacillati; Bacillota; Bacilli; Lactobacillales; Lactobacillaceae.
GACGAACGCUGGCGGCGUGCCUAAUACAUGCAAGUCGAACGAACUCUGGUAUUGAUUGGUGCUUGCAUCAUGAUUUACAUUUGAGUGAGUGGCGAACUGGUGAGUAACACGUGGGAAACCUGCCCAGAAGCGGGGGAUAACACCUGGAAACAGAUGCUAAUACCGCAUAACAACUUGGACCGCAUGGUCCGAGUUUGAAAGAUGGCUUCGGCUAUCACUUUUGGAUGGUCCCGCGGCGUAUUAGCUAGAUGGUGGGGUAACGGCUCACCAUGGCAAUGAUACGUAGCCGACCUGAGAGGGUAAUCGGCCACAUUGGGACUGAGACACGGCCCAAACUCCUACGGGAGGCAGCAGUAGGGAAUCUUCCACAAUGGACGAAAGUCUGAUGGAGCAACGCCGCGUGAGUGAAGAAGGGUUUCGGCUCGUAAAACUCUGUUGUUAAAGAAGAACAUAUCUGAGAGUAACUGUUCAGGUAUUGACGGUAUUUAACCAGAAAGCCACGGCUAACUACGUGCCAGCAGCCGCGGUAAUACGUAGGUGGCAAGCGUUGUCCGGAUUUAUUGGGCGUAAAGCGAGCGCAGGCGGUUUUUUAAGUCUGAUGUGAAAGCCUUCGGCUCAACCGAAGAAGUGCAUCGGAAACUGGGAAACUUGAGUGCAGAAGAGGACAGUGGAACUCCAUGUGUAGCGGUGAAAUGCGUAGAUAUAUGGAAGAACACCAGUGGCGAAGGCGGCUGUCUGGUCUGUAACUGACGCUGAGGCUCGAAAGUAUGGGUAGCAAACAGGAUUAGAUACCCUGGUAGUCCAUACCGUAAACGAUGAGUGCUAAGUGUUGGAGGGUUUCCGCCCUUCAGUGCUGCAGCUAACGCAUUAAGCAUUCCGCCUGGGGAGUACGGCCGCAAGGCUGAAACUCAAAGGAAUUGACGGGGGCCCGCACAAGCGGUGGAGCAUGUGGUUUAAUUCGAAGCUACGCGAAGAACCUUACCAGGUCUUGACAUACUAUGCAAAUCUAAGAGAUUAGACGUUCCCUUCGGGGACAUGGAUACAGGUGGUGCAUGGUUGUCGUCAGCUCGUGUCGUGAGAUGUUGGGUUAAGUCCCGCAACGAGCGCAACCCUUAUUAUCAGUUGCCAGCAUUAAGUUGGGCACUCUGGUGAGACUGCCGGUGACAAACCGGAGGAAGGUGGGGAUGACGUCAAAUCAUCAUGCCCCUUAUGACCUGGGCUACACACGUGCUACAAUGGAUGGUACAACGAGUUGCGAACUCGCGAGAGUAAGCUAAUCUCUUAAAGCCAUUCUCAGUUCGGAUUGUAGGCUGCAACUCGCCUACAUGAAGUCGGAAUCGCUAGUAAUCGCGGAUCAGCGUGCCGCGGUGAAUACGUUCCCGGGCCUUGUACACACCGCCCGUCACACCAUGAGAGUUUGUAACACCCAAAGUCGGUGGGGUAACCUUUUAGGAACCAGCCGCCUAAGGUGGGACAGAUGAUUAGGGUG